UCUUUGUGUCUCUUCCUCCCACUCUCUC
Molecule: non-coding RNA, 28 nt
Filed under: Mus musculus (house mouse)
Lineage: Eukaryota; Metazoa; Chordata; Mammalia; Rodentia; Muridae
Source: RNAcentral